UGGGGACGGCCGCCUUCUCUGGCGGGGAAAGCGGGCGAGUAACAUUCGCGGUGCUGGGAGGGGACGCGGUGGUCGGAGGGGGUUGGACUGCUGCGCGGCCCGCCCUGCGGCAGCCGGAGGGGUAGGGCGAAGGGAACGGAACGGGCUCAUCUGCCGCCUCGGCCAUUGCUCCCGCAGAGGGCGGGUCGCUUCCGGCGCGGCUCGGGCCGCUGAUAGGCCGCUUGGCCUCCCGCCGUGUGUGAAAACACAAAUGGCGCCUCGGGACUGGCGGGCCGCGCCUGUCAAUCUUGGCGGAGGGAGGGAGUGCGCAGCCGCGGCCAGUGUGCCGCGCGGCGCCCUGGGUGGGGUGGGGACAGGUCGGGCGGGGUCGGCACGGGUAGUGAAAGUGGCUCCCGCGCGGCGCUGUCCGCUCCGCCCCUUCCUCCGCGGCGGCGGGCCCUGAUUGGGCAGCGGUGCGGGUGGGCGGGGCCAGGCGCGGGGAGGCGACGGCGGCGGGUCCGGGCCUCCCUGGACCCCGCGCCGCAGUGUCUGGCCCCGCUCCCCUGCGCAACGUGGCAGGAAGCGCGCGCUGAGGGCUGGGGGGGGGGGGGGGGGCGGAUGCAGCCCCGCCUGCCUGCCGGCCUCUCAACCAAACCCACCGGACCGGCUCUGGGGCGGGGUGGGUGCUGGAGCCGUACGCGGUGCACCGGCGCCCGGGCCUCCUCCCCCCCCCAGGCCGGGUGGCGGGGAGCCCUCCCCGGCAGCUGCAGUGCGGGGGGGGGGGGGGGCGCGGGGGCGGGCCGCGCCCUGGUCGGCGGCGAGGGCAGUGCCGCAGUGCCUGCCUCCCUGGGAGCGCUCGGCCACCUCCCGCCGCCCAAGGCCCGCCCUGGCCCUGGCAGGAUCCCGCCCUCCCCCCUCCCGCCAUCUCGUCAUCGCCUCCAUGUCGAGCAGGGCUGCGGCGGGUGCCUGGGCGUUGUCCUGCUGGAGCAGGGUUUAAAGGAGAACCUGUACCCCAAACUGGCCUUCGUGUGACAGGGAAACCAGGAAGCCAGAAGAUUAGGAAUUACGUGCUAGAGUCUGUCUUGGAGCAGGGAUUCUGCAACAGGGAAGAUCUGGCACCGAGCCCCGGGUUCCUGGUUUGAGCUGAUGAAAAACUCAGCAGUUCUCCAAAGUAUUCCUUCCUAACCCCAGAAGAACCCCACAGCAACAAGACUGGGGAGGCAGAUUUGAACCUGGUCUCUUUGCUUGUUGACCUGUUUUUAGUAAUAAAGCUUUUUCUCACAA
Molecule: long non-coding RNA, 1263 nt
Organism: Erinaceus europaeus (western European hedgehog)
Lineage: Eukaryota; Metazoa; Chordata; Mammalia; Eulipotyphla; Erinaceidae
Exons: 2
Source: RefSeq, a predicted model, not a curated record